GAAGCGGUAGCACAAUACGUGCAUUUUAUUUACGAUAAAAAGGAGGCUCCGCCCCGUUUUA
This 61-nucleotide transfer RNA is filed under the name Sphaeroma terebrans. RNAcentral's name for it is "tRNA-Val". The record is from RNAcentral. Lineage: Eukaryota; Metazoa; Arthropoda; Malacostraca; Isopoda; Sphaeromatidae.